GUUCUAGCGCUCUACGGUAUCUAUUGAACAUAAUACAAUUAUCUUCUCUCCUGCAUCUAGAAUGGUAUUAGCCAUGCACUCUCCUUGGGGGAAUUGAGAAAAUACUUACUAAAAUUAGCUCCUAAAGGGACUGUUUAUCUCUCUGAACUGAUUGAGAAAGGCUGCAAGCAUGAUAACUGUGGUGCAUGCAACUGAGGAGACCCUUAAGGGAGUGUAAAAAUUGUAGCAAAAAAUGCCUAGAUACCCUAUCCCAGGAAGGUGAAGACAGGGAAGGUGUUCUCUGGCAGGUAUGAGGUGAAAAGGCAGGAGUCCUGGCUCCUGGAGAACAUGAUUGUGACAGUCCUAUAGGUGUCUUGACACUGUGGAGAGUAGCAGCUUCUGAUAGAGGAAAAACAGAAACAGAAAAUGGAAAUUCUUUUGGCACCUCUGUUUAUGCUUGUCCUACUUGUUGUUUGAAUGCCUUAUAAAUAUAUGAAAAUAUACUGAACCCAAAAUUGUGACAUGCUGACCUGAUGUCCUGCAUCCUUUAAAUAGAAGUACAUAGAUCAUGGUCAGGAUUACAACGUGGAGAGGUGAGUAUGAUCAGACAGGUGGCCCAAGUUCAUUAACUGUCUACCUCCAACAUUUCCUUAGCUCCAGAUACUCAAUUUGACCAUCCAUAAAAAGAGAUGGUACUAUUUACCUUUUAAGGUUGUGGGGAGAUUCUAAUGAGAUAGAAGAGAGAGCCUAAGACAAUAUCUGGUAUAUAAUAAGUGCUCACAAAAUCACAGGGAUUAUUACUUCUCUUGGUGUUAAUUGCUUCAUAAUAAGACAGGCAUACGCAUUCUCUUAAGAAAUGAAAAAAUAAGAAACUAAAAUUGUUUUAUCCUGUCCCCCUUUCCAGCCUUGGGAGGACUACUCAGAUGAUAGGAACCAGUGGUUGAAAAAGAAAGAGAAACAAGAUGAAAGGAUUCGUGACUUUUCUGGGAAGUAUAAAAAGCUAUUUUGUGCCUCUUCUUUAUUUAGUUGCCAAUAGAUUGUUUUAUUUAUCUAUCUUGUUGUGUGAUAAAAUGCGAUAUGGGAGUAAUUGUUUUUCUUGUGUGUGCAUGCAUGUACGUAUUUCUAUUUUGAUGAAGUGCUGACCCUGCUGAUUCAGAAUACCUUUAAGUUUUACAAAGAUUUUGUUUUCUCCUGGCUUCCUCUUGCAUACACAAAGGCAGUAAUAGAGUGUCAUUUAAAUAAUAUGCCUUGGUUAGAACACAGCAAACUAGUUAAGAGAAACAUUUUAGAGGUUGACCUAAAAUACAUUAACUUUGAAAUAAAUAUACAUCUGGUAUAAAGAAUGAAUUUUACCAAAUAUGCAUAUCAGUUAUACCAACAGAUACCAUUUUGGGAAGAUACGUAUUCUGGUUUUAAAAAUAUUUUAGUUUGAGUUCAGUUGUAUUAUAGCUUACAUAAUACUAAUUAGAUGCUGGCUCAGAACUAUGUGUUAGUCAAAAAUUUUGGCUAGGUUCUCAUGAAAUAUCUGAAAGGCUAAAGAACAAUGUAAUUAUGCAUACAUUUAAAAUUUUGAAAGAAACAUCCCAUGUGCUACCUGACAGUGAAAUUGUCCCUGAUGAUAAGGAGAAAGGAUAAGAAGAUGCUGGGGACUGCCCGGUUCAGAGUGGACAUACUCAGGCCUAAUUCCUUAAAUAUUCAACUGAACUAGAUGAUGCUCUAUGAUCUAUAAGCUCUCUGUGCCUUGGUUUCUAAUAGAACAAAAUGUAGGGAGCAUCAAUCUCAUAAAUAUUUCUUUUCUUUCUUCUUUUUUUUUUAUAAACUGAAUGGAGAUUCCUGUGCAGUAGACUAUAUCAUAAAUGCUGGCAUUAGAAGAUUAGAAAAACUCCUGUCUUAUAAACUAUUUUAUAUUGGGUAUUUACUAUUUAUAGCUAACGGAUUUCUAAAUAUAUGAUUUGACCUGCUACAUUUAAACUAAGUAAUAAAAUACGUGUCAAAUAAUCCAAGUUAAUAUCCAAAGUCAUGACAUUAUCAAAGUUACAGUUUUUUCUUAAUCUGUCAAGAAUUUCAGUGCUAAAUUGACCUUAAUUUUUUAAAAAAAUAAUAUUUAGGUAACUUUCUGAUUACUCAAAAUAGUUCAGAACUGUAACUCAUGCUCCUGUGUGUGUGUGAUUUUUCUGCCUGUGCACUCUAUAACUGUGACUUGCUCAAGGGUGCUAAGAAGAGAGAAGCUGAUGUGGCUGAUGUUGGAAGGUGAUGAAUUCAUCCAUGGUAAAAGAAAUAUCCCUUAAGGCAGGGGUCUCCAACCCCUGGACCAUGGACAGAUCAGUGGCAGCAUCAGAUUCUCACAGGAGCAUGAACCCCACGGUGAACUCCACAUGCAAGGGAUGUAGUUGCGUGCUCCCUAUGAGAACCUAAUGCUUGAUGAUCCGAGGUAGAACAGUUUCAUCCCAAAACCAUUCCCCUGCCUCCGUAGAAAUAUUGUCUUCCACGAAACUAGGCCCUGGUGCCAAAAAGGUUGGGGCCUGCUGCCUUAGGGCAUGUCCUGUUACCAGCUUCCAGUUGCCCUUGAAGUGGUCUUCAUUAUCCUGGCUUUCUCUCCUCAGCCUCUUCUUCCUGCUGGACUUCCUACGGGCCUAUCCCUCACUGGCUCUGGGUCCUGGGCCUCUACCCAGGCCUGAGUCCAUGUGCUCAGAAAAGGUGUGGUUUCAUCCUUCUGGAGUACUGGUGUUCAUGUGACUGUCCUUUGAAAGAACAGGGCAAGAGUCAUCUGUUUUCUAUUAAACUUUAAUGACAUUUGAUACACACAAGACACUGAGAGAGGGGCAGAGAAAACUGGAUGUGCAGAUAAAAUGGAGACCAAAGUAGUACAUCAGGAGAGAUGUGAAGAUAUCCCAGGUAAGUCUGAUUCUACUAUCAUUUUAUUUAGAUAUAUGGUAAGAUCUAUUGCAAGGCAAUUUCUUCUCUUUUACCUAGUUCUUUGAAAAACCUUUGUAAAAAUGAGACUGUGUCUGAUAGUCCUGUUGACUUUUUACACAUCAAGGCUUAAAUUAUAAUGACUAAUUUUCUUGUCAUCUUCAACAAACUCACCAUUAACUGAGAGUCCAUAGGGUAAACACCGGUGAGUUUUAUCUACUUUUCAUCAGUGUUGACACAUGGUAAUAAAAUCAUUUGUUGAAAAAAUUUAUGAAUGAAUGAAUAAAGCACAAUCUGAAAGUGCUCACCUGUUCCAAAAGCAUUCAUUGAAACAAUGCUUUCAUUCACUGGUAAAAAGUAGCAAUGGGACUAUUUCUCAUGGAUACAUUUAUAUUGAAUAGUGCUCAUAAACUAUAUAUAAUAUUUAUGAUAUAUGUGUACAUGCAUUUACAUCAGAUUAUGUAAACAAAUGAGAACCAAAAGAAAAUUUAAAUAUGUGCAAAUAUUUACCAAACACCAAAACCAUCAAAGCAGAGGCAACUCCAAUUCUAAAGAAGACAUAUGCACAAUCAAAUAUGUCACUUAAAAAUGUAAGAAAAAGACAAUCUCUUUUCCAUUCUCAGAGCUUGAUUUAAUAUCAAGGCAGAGCUCAGCAGUUUGGCCUUUUCUUCAGAGUUGGAAUGUGCUUUCCAAACCUUUUUUAUUUUAAUGUGACUCUGGCUGAUAGUCCCUGAAAUUCUAACAUUCGAGCCCUAUAAGCAUUAUUUUACUCUCGUGGCCCACUGAGCAACCUCAGAAAAAAUAAUUUUUGGCAACUGAUCUUUACAGAAAAUGAAGUGAUUGCCAUUUUUUUCAUUUCUCUCUGGAUUUCUCAAACAAGCCUGCCAAUAUUGAGUGAAAGCACUUUGGAAAGUAGUAACUUGGAUAUCAGAAUAAAUAAAUAUUAUGGAUUCUCCCCUGCAAGUUUUACCCAGUAUCCCUGAAAGAAAAAGCUUCCUCUCACCUGUUUUGACUGUACGUGUGGCUGUGCUCUCUGGCUUCAGAAUUGCUUCUAUAGGAAGAAAUUAAUCAUCGAUUAUUCUACUAAAAUAGAUGUAACAUUCACUGUGAUCCGUUAUGUGAGCAACAAUGUGGAGUACUGGUAUAGAGUUUCGGGAGACCUGGGUGUUAAUUCUAGCUUAGUCACAUGCUACAUGUGUGAACUUGGGCAAGUUACUUGAUCCUGAAGCCUCACUUUUCUCCUUUGAAAAUGGGAAUAAUACUACCACCUACCUCCUGGAAUUGUAGUGGUGAAGAUUAAAUCAGGUAAUGUGCCAAGCACUCAGACAGCACUCAAUAAAUGUUAGUUAUUCUCCUUCAUGGUGAAGAGGGUAAGACUGGAUAAUUACAAUCAAAGUAAUUCAAGGGGCACGCAUUGCUGAAUGGGAAUGUCUUCACACUUUAUGAACAAUGAAUUUAUAUACAUAAGUAGAGACAUGGCCAAGGUUAAAGGUGAACAAAACUGACCUCUACCUUCCCCUUGUAUCAUACAACCCCCUGCCCCCCAUUUCUUUCCUGCCAGUUUGAAUCUCAGUGGUCUCAAUUUGCUUUCCUCCAAAAUAGUUCAAAACAAACAAAACAAAAAUAGAAUAAAGAUGGAUUGAGAAAAAGAGACGAACUUUGGCCCCAAUCCCUUGGUGAUGCCAGGUCCAAUAUAAUUACAUUCUACAAAUUCAAUGUAGUUUUUACCCUUUAAUUUAAAAUAAAGUUAUUAUAUGAAGACAUGUCUAUUUAUACUGAAAUGUUUAUAGCCAGU
Molecule: long non-coding RNA, 4687 nt
Filed under: Homo sapiens (human)
Lineage: Eukaryota; Metazoa; Chordata; Mammalia; Primates; Hominidae
Description: HSALNT0041475
Source: RNAcentral